GAUGUACUCCCUCCGUCCGAAAAUACUUGUCAUCAAAAUGGAUAAAAAGAGAUGUAUCUAGAACUAAAAUACAUCUAGAUACAUCCCCUUUUGUUCAUUUUUAUGACAAAUAUUUUCCGGACGGAGGGAGUAUAUA
This is a non-coding RNA of Triticum aestivum (bread wheat), 136 nucleotides long. The record is from Rfam. Lineage: Eukaryota; Viridiplantae; Streptophyta; Magnoliopsida; Poales; Poaceae.